GAUGAACGCUGGCGGCGUGCCUAAUACAUGCAAGUCGAGCGAACAGACGAGGAGCUUGCUCCUCUGACGUUAGCGGCGGACGGGUGAGUAACACGUGGAUAACCUACCUAUAAGACUGGGAUAACUUCGGGAAACCGGAGCUAAUACCGGAUAACAUGUUGAACCGCAUGGUUCAACAGUGAAAGACGGUCUUGCUGUCACUUAUAGAUGGAUCCGCGCCGCAUUAGUUAGUUGGUAAGGUAACGGCUUACCAAGGCAACGAUGCGUAGCCGACCUGAGAGGGUGAUCGGCCACACUGGAACUGAGACACGGUCCAGACUCCUACGGGAGGCAGCAGUAGGGAAUCUUCCGCAAUGGGCGAAAGCCUGACGGAGCAACGCCGCGUGAGUGAUGAAGGUCUUCGGAUCGUAAAACUCUGUUAUUAGGGAAGAACAAAUGUGUAAGUAACUAUGCACGUCUUGACGGUACCUAAUCAGAAAGCCACGGCUAACUACGUG
Molecule: ribosomal RNA, 497 nt
Filed under: uncultured bacterium
Lineage: Bacteria
Description: partial 16S ribosomal RNA
Rfam family: Bacterial small subunit ribosomal RNA
Source: RNAcentral